AUUGAACGCUGGCGGCAUGCUUUACACAUGCAAGUCGAACGGCAGCACAAACUUCGGUUUGGUGGCGAGUGGCGAACGGGUGAGUAAUGCAUCGGAACGUGUCCUGAAGUGGGGGAUAACGCAUCGAAAGAUGCGCUAAUACCGCAUAAUCUCUGAGGAGAAAAGUGGGGGAUCGAAAGACCUCAUGCUUUUGGAGCGGCCGAUGUCUGAUUAGCUAGUUGGUAGGGUAAUGGCCUACCAAGGCGACGAUCAGUAGUUGGUCUGAGAGGAUGGCCAGCCACACUGAGACUGAGACACGGCCCAGACUCCUACGGGAGGCAGCAGUGGGGAAUUUUGGACAAUGGGCGCAAGCCUGAUCCAGCCAUGCCGCGUGAGUGAAGAAGGCCUCGGUU
RNAcentral lists this ribosomal RNA (392 nucleotides) under uncultured bacterium. Its description in RNAcentral is "bacterial SSU rRNA". It matches the Rfam family "Bacterial small subunit ribosomal RNA", at positions 30 to 424 of the family's 1533-position model. The record is from RNAcentral.